This 1348-nucleotide ribosomal RNA is filed under the name Vorticellides sp. RNAcentral's name for it is "SSU rRNA". It matches the Rfam family "Eukaryotic small subunit ribosomal RNA", at positions 100 to 1519 of the family's 1831-position model. The record is from RNAcentral. Lineage: Eukaryota; Ciliophora; Oligohymenophorea; Sessilida; Vorticellidae.
AUUAAAUCAGUUAUUAUUUACAUGAUAAUCGAAAGUUACAUGGAUAACCGUGACAAAUUACAGCUAAUACAUGCAUUCAGACCUGGUCCAAGGGUCGUAAUUAUUAGUAUUAAACCUCUGCCGCAAGGCGUGUGAUGAAUCAUAAUAAUCGAACGAAUCGCAGAAUUCUGCGAUAAAUCAUUCAAGUUUCUGCCCUAUCAGCUUUGGAUGGUAGUGUAUUGGACUACCAUGGCAGUCACGGGUAACGGAGAAUUAGGGUUCGAUUCCGGAGAGGGAGCCUGAGAAACGGCUACCACAUCUACGGAAGGCAGCAGGCGCGAAAAUUGCCCAAUCCCGACACGGGGAGGCAGUGACAAGAAAUAACAACUCUUGGAUUUCUAAGAAGUGUAAUGAGGAUAAUUUACAACCCUUACCGAAAGCAAUUGGAGGGCAAGUCUGGUGCCAGCAGCCGCGGUAAUUCCAGCUCCAAUAGCAUAUAUUAAAGUUGUUGCAGUUAAAAAGCUCGUAGUUGAAGUUCUGGCUGUUCGAUCCUCGAGCUCUGUAGCCGAGGACUCGACAGUCAUCCGCUUGCAAUUAUAUGUUCUCCUUUAACCGGGAGGCUAUAUGAGUAAGCAUUUUACCUUGAGAAAAACAGAGUGUUCCAGGCAGGUAUGUCCGGAAUGCGUUAGCAUGGAAUAAUAGAAUAUGACUGAAGUCGAUUUAUUGGUUUGAGGCUUUAGUAAUGAUUAAUAGGAACAGUCGGGGGCAUUGGUACUUGACAGUCAGAGGUGAAAUUCUAGGAUUUGUCAAAGACUAACAAAUGCGAAAGCAUUUGCCAAGGAUGUUUUCAUUAAUCAAGAACGAAAGUUAGGGGAUCAAAGACGAUCAGAUACCGUCCUAGUCUUAACUAUAAACUAUACCGACUCGGAUUCGGAUGAAUCAAAAAGUUCAUUCGGGACCGUAGGAGAAAUCAAAGUUUUUGGGUUCUGGGGGAAGUAUGGUCGCAAGGCUGAAACUUAAAGGAAUUGACGGUUUUGCACCACCAUGGAGUGGAGUCUGCGGCUUAAUUUGACCCAACACUGGGAAACUCAUCAGGGCAAGAAGAUUUUAGGAUUGACAGAUUGAGAGUUCUUUCUUGAUUGGUCUAGUGGUGGUGCAUGGCCGUUCUUAGUUGGUGGAGUGAUUUGUCUGGUUAAUUCCGUUAACGAACGAGACCUUAACCUGCUAACUAGUGUCUCCAUCUCAAAUGGAGAGCACUUCUUAGAGGGACUAUGUGAUGUAAUCACAUGGAAGUUUGAGGCAAUAACAGGUCUGUGAUGCCCUUAGAUGUUCUGGACUGCACGCGUAAUACAAUGAUUGCAUCAACGAG